GAAAUGAGUAUCUUAGUGGCGGACGGGUGAGUAACGCGUGGGUAACCUGCCCUAUACCGGGGGAUACCACCUGGAAACAGGUGCUAAUACCGCAUAAGCGCACGGGAGCGCAUGCUCCUGUGUGAAAAACUCCGGUGGUAUGGGAUGGACCCGCGUCUGAUUAGCCAGUUGGCAGGGUAACGGCCUACCAAAGCGACGAUCAGUAGCCGGCCUGAGAGGGUGGACGGCCACAUUGGGACUGAGACACGGCCCAAACUCCUACGGGAGGCAGCAGUGGGGAAUAUUGCACAAUGGGGGAAACCCUGAUGCAGCGACGCCGCGUGAGUGAAGAAGUAUUUCGGUAUGUAAAGCUCUAUCAGCAGGAACGAGACAAGACGGUACCUGACUAAGAAGCCCCGGCUAACUACGUGCCAGCAGCCGCGGUAAUACGUAGGGGGCAAGCGUUAUCCGGAAUCACUGGGUGUAAAGGG
This 470-nucleotide ribosomal RNA is filed under the name uncultured bacterium. RNAcentral describes it as "bacterial SSU rRNA". It matches the Rfam family "Bacterial small subunit ribosomal RNA", at positions 80 to 567 of the family's 1533-position model. The record is from RNAcentral.